GUCCAACCGCAUAGCUCAGUCGGUUACAGCGUGGUGCUGAUAACAGUAAGGUCACAGGUUUGAUCCCCAUAUGGGACA
Non-coding RNA from Podarcis lilfordi (Lilford's wall lizard), 78 nucleotides. NCBI's taxonomy places the organism in Eukaryota, Metazoa, Chordata, Lepidosauria, Squamata, Lacertidae. The record is from the annotation of a GenBank genome assembly.